ACAGAGUGACAGGUGGUGCAUGGUUGUCGUCAGCUCGUGUCGUGAGAUGUUGGGUUAAGUCCCGCAACGAGCGCAACCCUCGACCUUAGUUGCCAGCAUUCAGUUGGGCACUCUAAGGUGACUGCCGGCUAAAAGUCGGAGGAAGGUGGGGAUGACGUCAAAUCAUCAUGCCCCUUAUGACCUGGGCUACACACGUGCUACAAUGGGCGGUACAAAGGGUCGCGAACCCGCGAGGGGGGAGCCAAUCCCAAAAAGCCGCUCUCAGUUCGGAUUGCAGGCUGCAACUCGCCUGCAUGAAGCCGGAAUCGCUAGUAAUCGCGGAUCAGCAUGCCGCGGUGAAUACGUUCCCGGGCCUU
Molecule: ribosomal RNA, 356 nt
Filed under: uncultured Anoxybacillus sp.
Lineage: Bacteria; Bacillati; Bacillota; Bacilli; Caryophanales; Anoxybacillaceae
Description: bacterial SSU rRNA
Rfam family: Bacterial small subunit ribosomal RNA
Source: RNAcentral